GACGAACGCUGGCGGCGUGCUUAACACAUGCAAGUCGAACGGAAAGGCCCUGCUUUUGUGGGGUGCUCGAGUGGCGAACGGGUGAGUAACACGUGAGUAACCUGCCCUUGACUUUGGGAUAACUUCAGGCAACUGGGGCUAAUACCUGAUAGGAGCUCCUGCUGCAUGGUGGUGGUUGGAAAGUUUCGGCGGUGGGGGAUGGACUCGCGGCUUAUCAGCUUGUGGGUGGGGUAGUGGCUUACCAAGGCUUUGACGGGUAGCCGGCCUGAGAGGGUGACCGGCCACAUUGGGACUGAGGUACGGCCCAGACUGCUACGGGAGGCAGCAGUGGGGAAUAUUGCACAAUGGGCGGAAGCCUGAUGCAGCAACGCCGCGUGCGGGAUGACGGCCUUCGUGUUGUAAACCGCUUUCGCCUGUGACGAAGCGUGAGUGACGGUAAUGGGUAAAGAAGCACCGGCUAACUACGUG
RNAcentral lists this ribosomal RNA (468 nucleotides) under uncultured bacterium. Its description in RNAcentral is "partial 16S ribosomal RNA". It matches the Rfam family "Bacterial small subunit ribosomal RNA", at positions 28 to 507 of the family's 1533-position model. The record is from RNAcentral.